AUUGAACGCUGGCGGAAUGCUUUACACAUGCAAGUCGAACGGUAGAGGGGGCAACCCCUCGAGAGUGGCGAACGGGUGAGUAAUAUAUCGGAACGUGCCCAGUCGUGGGGGAUAACGUAGCGAAAGUUACGCUAAUACCGCAUACGAUCUAAGGAUGAAAGCGGGGGAUCGCAAGACCUCGCGCGAUUGGAGCGGCCGAUAUCAGAUUAGGUAGUUGGUGGGGUAAAGGCUCACCAAGCCAACGAUCUGUAGCUGGUCUGAGAGGACGACCAGCCACACUGGAACGGAGACACGGUCCAGACUCCGACGGGAGACAGCAGUGGGGAAUUUUGGACAAUGGACGCAAGUCUGAUCCAGCCAUUCCGCGUGCAGGAUGAAGGCCUCGGGUUGUAAACUGCUUUUGUACGGAACGAAAAGGUCUCUCUUAAUACGGGGGACUCAUGACGGUACCGUAAGAAUAAGCACCGGCUAACUACGUGCCAGCAGCCGCCGUAA
Molecule: ribosomal RNA, 495 nt
Filed under: uncultured bacterium
Lineage: Bacteria
Description: partial 16S ribosomal RNA
Rfam family: Bacterial small subunit ribosomal RNA
Source: RNAcentral